Molecule: ribosomal RNA, 516 nt
Filed under: Staphylococcus aureus
Lineage: Bacteria; Bacillati; Bacillota; Bacilli; Caryophanales; Staphylococcaceae
Description: bacterial SSU rRNA
Rfam family: Bacterial small subunit ribosomal RNA
Source: RNAcentral
UUUAUGGAGAGUUUGAUCCUGGCUCAGGAUGAACGCUGGCGGCGUGCCUAAUACAUGCAAGUCGAGCGAACGGACGAGAAGCUUGCUUCUCUGAUGUUAGCGGCGGACGGGUGAGUAACACGUGGAUAACCUACCUAUAAGACUGGGAUAACUUCGGGAAACCGGAGCUAAUACCGGAUAAUAUUUUGAACCGCAUGGUUCAAAAGUGAAAGACGGUCUUGCUGUCACUUAUAGAUGGAUCCGCGCUGCAUUAGCUAGUUGGUAAGGUAACGGCUUACCAAGGCAACGAUGCAUAGCCGACCUGAGAGGGUGAUCGGCCACACUGGAACUGAGACACGGUCCAGACUCCUACGGGAGGCAGCAGUAGGGAAUCUUCCGCAAUGGGCGAAAGCCUGACGGAGCAACGCCGCGUGAGUGAUGAAGGUCUUCGGAUCGUAAAACUCUGUUAUUAGGGAAGAACAUAUGUGUAAGUAACUGUGCACAUCUUGACGGUACCUAAUCAGAAAGCCACGGCUA